Molecule: ribosomal RNA, 462 nt
Filed under: uncultured bacterium
Lineage: Bacteria
Description: partial 16S ribosomal RNA
Rfam family: Bacterial small subunit ribosomal RNA
Source: RNAcentral
AACAAACGCUGGCGGCGUGCCUAAUACAUGCAAGUCGAACGGGGAAAGCUUUCGGGUGAGUACUAGUGGCGCACGGGUGAGGAACGCGUGGAUAAUCUGCCUUAGAGUGGGGGAUAACUAGUCGAAAGAUUAGCUAAUACCGCAUAAGACCACGAGAGCUGCGGCUUUUGAGGUCAAAGGUUUUUCGCUCUAAGAUGAGUCCGCGUAAGAUUAGCUAGUUGGUGAGGUAACGGCCCACCAAGGCGACGAUCUUUAACUGGUCUGAGAGGAUGAUCAGUCACACUGGAACUGAGACACGGUCCAGACGCCUACGGGAGGCAGCAGGAGGGAAUAGUGCAAAAUGGAGGAAACUCUGAUGCAGCGACGCCGCGUGAGGGAUGAAGGCCUUCGGGGCGUAAAGCUCUGUCGCAGGGGAAUAACACAAUGAAGGUACCCUGUAAGAAAGGAUCGGCUAACUUCGUG